RNAcentral lists this unclassified non-coding RNA (432 nucleotides) under soil metagenome. RNAcentral describes it as "partial contains 5.8S ribosomal RNA, internal transcribed spacer 2, and large subunit ribosomal RNA". The stretch from base 1 to 120 matches the Rfam family "5.8S ribosomal RNA", at positions 35 to 154 of the family's 154-position model. The record is from RNAcentral.
GAUGAAGAACGCAGCGAAAUGUGAUACGUAAUGUGAAUUGCAGAAUUCAGUGAAUCAUCGAAUCUUUGAACGCAUAUUGCGCUCUCUGGUAUUCCGGAGAGCAUGCUUGUUUGAGUAUCAGUAAACACCUCAACUUCCAUAUCUUUUUUGAAAUGGGAGUUGGACUUGAGUGAUCCCAACGCUUUUCCUCACCGAAAAGUGGCGGGUUACUUGAAAUGCAGGUGCAGCUGGACUUUUCUCUGAGCUAUAAGCAUAUCUAUUUAGUCUGCCUAAAAAACAGAUUAUUACCUUUGCUGCAGCUAACAUAAAGGAGAUUAGUUCUUGUGCUGACUGAUGCAGGAUUCACAAAGACGGCUUCGGCCGACUUUGUAAACUCGAUCUCAAAUCAAGUAAGACUACCCGCUGAACUUAAGCAUAUCAAUAAGCGGAGGA